RNAcentral lists this ribosomal RNA (243 nucleotides) under uncultured bacterium. Its description in RNAcentral is "partial 16S ribosomal RNA". It matches the Rfam family "Bacterial small subunit ribosomal RNA", at positions 796 to 1041 of the family's 1533-position model. The record is from RNAcentral.
CACGCCGUAAACGAUGAAUGCCAGUCGUCGGUGCGCAUGCGUAUCGGUGACACACCUAACGGAUUAAGCAUUCCGCCUGGGGAGUACGGUCGCAAGAUUAAAACUCAAAGGAAUUGACGGGGACCCGCACAAGCAGCGGAGCAUGUGGUUUAAUUCGAAGCAACGCGAAGAACCUUACCUGGACUUGACAUCCCCUGAAUGACUCGUAAUGGAGGAAGCCCUACGGGGCAGGGAGACAGGUGG